GUUCAAAGGCAUUGGAUCUGUUGUGGCUGUGGAUCAGGUCUGACGGCUCUCUCUCUCUCAAUAAAAAUGAACUUGAUAAAGAAAAUGGAGUACUUAAAUGUGGAUAUCUGUUUUGCAGGAUCCGAAUACCCGUUACCCUGUCGUGGUCCGAUUCAACAAAGUUAACUAUGCCAAUGUGUCCACAAAUAACUAUGCUUUGGACGAGAUUGAAGAAGUUAAAUGAGUUUGUAGUAGCACUGUAAAUUGUAAUCUUAAUUAAAUUGUCCUUCUCUCAGUUUCUUCCUUACUUGUUGGUGCCCUUUAUUUGUGUAUCAUACUCUAAAUUUCUUCUUCCACCUUUUCUUAGUUAUUUUCAAUCACUGCUUCCUCAAAACACGAAUAGAUCGUUAUAAACUCAUAGUAUAUACCGUAUUUAUACACCGGAUUCAUAUGCCGGUUUCAUGCAUCUAUACGCUGUAAAUUAUCCUAUACUGGUUUCAUACACCGGAGCCGUACACUGCUUCUCUCUUUGUCACUGUAUCUUUAUCUUACGAUAUGGAGGGAAACAUUAAUAGGUGUUGGUUACAUCCCGGAGUUGGGCACCAUAUUUCUAAUUUUUUGUUUUAACUUAUUUGUAUUUUAGUUUGUUGUGCAAAUUUCAUCCCGAUGUUAAAUGGUGAGGGGAAAUGCAUGAAAGGAAAAGCAUAACGUGCCUUGCAUUGAUCCCAAAUAGAAUAUCGUAAAAAAUUGGAAAAAAAAA
Molecule: long non-coding RNA, 739 nt
Filed under: Malus domestica (apple)
Lineage: Eukaryota; Viridiplantae; Streptophyta; Magnoliopsida; Rosales; Rosaceae
Description: long non-coding RNA (MDOM_LNC009473)
Source: RNAcentral